UACAACUAGAAAUAAAUUAUUAUUUUAAUCAAUAAGAGAGUUCGACGGAGACAGAGAGUAAGAGAUUUUUAAAUGUCUGCAGAUAUCAUCAUAUAGUCUUUAAUCAAUCCAAAAAAAGUUUGAAGAAAGUCAUUUUGUCUCUCAAUCCACCAUAUAUGAUAUUGUUGUUCGAAUCUAACAAUCAACACAUGACGAUCUAUGAUGAAUGUCAAGCACGUGGGUUGAAUGCUACUGCUAUAACAUAUAUUGAUCGAUGCAAUAAAUAUAAUAAUAAAAUG
Molecule: long non-coding RNA, 278 nt
Filed under: Carica papaya (papaya)
Lineage: Eukaryota; Viridiplantae; Streptophyta; Magnoliopsida; Brassicales; Caricaceae
Description: long non-coding RNA (CPAP_LNC005408)
Source: RNAcentral